RNAcentral lists this long non-coding RNA (1154 nucleotides) under Felis catus (domestic cat). RNAcentral's name for it is "lncRNA (ENSFCAG00000040789.2)". The record is from RNAcentral. Lineage: Eukaryota; Metazoa; Chordata; Mammalia; Carnivora; Felidae.
GAGGGUACAGCGCACAUCGGAUUUGCUUCUGGAGGCCGUGAAAGGGCGGGAAGAGGUCAAGACCUGUAGAAGGGAGGCCCGCGGUGGCGGUCACCCCAGUGAGGGGCCCCGGGACCAGGGGUCUGGGAAGCAGGGAAGGGCUCCGGAUGGGGAACGGGGGUGAAGGCCGGUGGCGGGCAGGGCGCCCUCUUCGCGUCUCUGGUUGGGUAAGUGGGGGAAGGAGGACUUCAGAGUGGCGUCGGGAAUAUUUAGCAAAGACCAGGUUUGGGCGGUGCCGCUCUAACGAGUGCAGGCUCGGACAGCUGAUUCUGAGAUGAUGUGGGAUUUUUUUUCUUUCUUUUUUUUAGCGUCGAUAAGAUUUGAGAGGCAUCAGCGUUCAGAGAUAGCAAGAGCAAUGCCUUAAAAGUGGCUAAUACCGUACAGGCUCACUUGUGAACACCGCGCCUGUUCAUCAGCUCGAGUGAUCUCCUGAGAACCCCAAAUACGGAAGCCCUAUUAUCACUGCUAUUUUAAAGAUGAGGAAACUGAGGCAGAGGUUUUCAAAUAACUCGCCUACGGUGCCACAGCUAGAAAGCGGUAGAGAGCAGUCUGGCAGCCGACAUGAAUAAUGGCUAUUGGUCGUGACGUUAUAGCGGAGGUUGAAUGUGUGGGAGCAAAAGGGAUUCCUGAGAGCAAGGAUCCGGAAGAGGAGGAGGAGGAAGAGGAUGGACACUUGCAGAAUACCCGUGCUACGUGCACGUCUCCAUGGGGUGCAAAGGUGAAAAUACCAGAGUCCUCCUCCGGGCGUUUGGAAUCAAGUUUGGGAGCUUGCAAUAUCUGACUCCUAAUGAGCCAUAGAAAUAUCGUUGAAUUAUUUCUCCACACUGCUAAUCAUUAGGCUGAGGCGGACAAAACUAUUACAUGUGAAGAUGUUUAAAUUGUCUCUCUAAAUUAAGAUAAACACACCCGGAAUUCACAGGAGAGAGAUGUAGCACAGGGCAUUAAAUGCCCAGAAAUGCCAAGGGCAUUCUAAUUUUAGAUUAAAGAACCCAGUGUCCCGCUCGGGUGGGGUUGGAAUGUCCUCCGUGGGAGCCAGCGGGCCCCAGCUUCCCCGACCUUCCCCCCCCCCCCACCUCGCCCCACACCUGGGCCAAAGAGUUUGGGUCGGGUAAAAC